UCUCUGAAUCUCCAUAUUUUCAUUAAAUUCCUUCUCUCUUCCACUGUUCAAGUUCAAUCCAGUAUAUAAAGUGACAUUAAUAGUGAAUAAACUAACAACCAGCCAUUGUAUUUAUUUAUUAUUGCAUGUAUUUGUGUAAAACAUGAGUUGAAACAUCCUGCUUUUGGAUCCAGAACUUCACAAGCCAUUCAUUUUCAGUCACGUGACGAGUUAAACUUCCCUUUUUAUGUGAUUUUGAAGCAGAAAGUCUGAGUUAACAAAGAAAGUUGUUUAUAAUUUGCGAUACCUGUUAUCUCUGACUGAGGCUUUAGUUUUUGUUGAGCUGAUUUACACGUAGAAACUUUGUUCAGGAAGAUUUCUCAGUAGCUCAGAGGACAGGCUGCUUUUUACACAGCCUUGUAAGAGAAUGUCUGUCAAUGCUUUCAGCAGAAUUUAGAAACACAACACUUCCUAAACAGAUAUUUUGAGGCUGUGAGGUUGAACAUUUGAGAGUCUAUCAGUGUGUUUGUUUGUGGUCUUUCUGUUUCUAGGUGGAAGCUGAAUUAGUGAGGAUGACUCCUGCUCCUGUCAUCUCUAAGCUCCUCACACAUCUUUACCUGCACAUGAGGAAAAUCACUCCUGUAGAAUGCAGGUAUGUUUGUCAUUAUUAUAAAAAGAUGUUGCCUGGUGACCUGUCAGAAACCCAUUAUACAGAGUCAGCCAAAAUAAUAUUUACACACAUUAGGAAAAGGAAAAACUAGCAUAAAUAUUUCAAUACCAAAUUUAUUCAGACAUCACCAGAUUAAUAAAAGUUAUCUUUGGCCUCUACAAUUACAAGAGGUGCUCAAAGUGGUGGCCACUGGCUUCCAGACAUUUCUGUUGUGUUGUAGAUGUCACUUGUUGAUGCUCCAUUCAUGAGGGUAGCGCCAUCUGUUGGGAAAACAUCGUACAACAGGACACAGAGUUAUCAUGAUUUGAUCAAACUUAGAAAGAGGUAUUUAUAUGUGUACAAGUACUUAUACAAAUGAAAUAUUUAUAAAAGUUUUUCUUUUCCUGAUGUGUGUAUACAUUAUUUUGGCUGACUCGGACUCUGUGAACUUAAUGAGAACAAAACUGUAAUUUAAUUGUUGCUUUAAAAGCUUCUUUAGUGAAAACCGGCUGGUGUUCUGCUUUGAAACAAACUGCUGUUGAGGUCUGUGUUUUUUAGGUUUAACCCCUCAGUUUCUGAAUUAACUGAUAGUUUGUUUUUUUUUCCUGAUCAAUGUGGACGUUAUAAUUGAUGGUAACAUUUACUGAUCAUAUAAUCAGCAUGACAAUAUAACAGUAGAACAUUCUGACCACCUGACUAAUACUGUGUUGGUCCCUUUAUGCUGCUAAAACUCCUCUGACCCAGUGGUUCAUCAGAACCUCUGGGGAUGUCCUGUGGAUUCUGUGGAUCUGUGGGUUGCAGGGUGGGUCCUACCUGGACCAGGCUGAUCCUGGACCAUCCCACAGAUGCUCCAUCAGAUCUGGAUGUGGGGAGUGUGGAACCCAGAUGUUCAGAGGGAGAUGAUGCCACAUCUGGUCCAGCUGAUGGAAGGUCUUGAAGUUCUCUGACUGGCCUCGACUGAAGAUGGUCCUCUCACUGGAUUAAGAUGUUAAGUUAAAGGUGGACAUAUAACCAAUCAAAUCACUCCAGAAGACAGAGCGACCACAGGCCUCCGUUGACUCGUCCCGCCUGCCAUCUCUGGAGCUGAAGCUGGAUUGGAACAGACCAAAGUACAGUCCAAUCACGAUGCCAGCUGCCUCUCAAAAGGCUCCUUCAUCUGGCAGGUGGCGGCACUUCUUCUGAGGGGAAGCUGAGCUGGCCCUGCAGAACUUUGGAGAUGUGUUCCAGUGGUUGGUGGAUGUGUGGGGAGAUAGAGAAGGACCUUUGAAUUGUUCAGAAAGGAAAACAGGGAACCCAUUGGUAGUUUUAGUUUAGGGUGCUACUGCGGUGUGUUUUUGGGUUUUAAGAGGUGAACAGGAAGAGGUUUUUUGGUAUUGAUUAUCUUUUACUUUGUUCCCAGUUGGAAUGCCCAUCAAUGUAAACAUGAAGUUCACUUUUAGUUCUGUUUAUUUAUUUUUAUUUUACUAACACCCAUUUGUUUUGUAACCCCCUCACAUGUUGUGUUGUUGUAAACUUACUCUUUCAAAUAAAUACUUGUCUAACCCUCUGGAAACCAGCGUUUGGACUGUUUUUGUGUUGCUCCUCACCAGACAGCUGGGACGUAACGUCUUGUGGACUAAAGGCUAUACUAUGCUGUUUUUAGAGCAACAUGCUAUACGCUG
Molecule: long non-coding RNA, 2289 nt
Organism: Amphiprion ocellaris (clown anemonefish)
Lineage: Eukaryota; Metazoa; Chordata; Actinopteri; Pomacentridae
Exons: 4
Source: RefSeq, a predicted model, not a curated record